CCUACGGGGGGCAGCAGUGAGGAAUAUUGGUCAAUGGGCUUACGCCUGAACCAGCCAAGUCGCGUGAGGGAAGACUGCCCUAUGGGUUGUAAACCUCUUUUGUCAGGGAGCAACGCCGGCUACGUGUAGCCGGACUGAGAGUACUUGAAGAAAAAGCAUCGGCUAACUCCGUGCCAGCAGCCGCGGUAAUACGGGGGAUGCGAGCGUUAUCCGGAUUUAUUGGGUUUAAAGGGUGCGUAGGCGGAAUGCAAAGUCAGCGUGAAAAUUGCGGGGCUCAACCUCGCUCCGCAGUUGAUACUGGCGUUCUUGAGUAGGGUAGAGGUAUGCGGAAUGCGUGGUGUAGCGGUGAAAUGCAUAGAUAUCACGCAGAACUCCGAUUGCGAAGGCAGCAUAC
RNAcentral lists this ribosomal RNA (394 nucleotides) under uncultured bacterium. Its description in RNAcentral is "partial 16S ribosomal RNA". It matches the Rfam family "Bacterial small subunit ribosomal RNA", at positions 338 to 729 of the family's 1533-position model. The record is from RNAcentral.